UCUUGCUCGAACUUUAACCCAGUAAGAAGCAUCUUUUCUUCAGGGCGUCCCCACUCUGCUCAAAGAGAGAAACAGAGGCUGAGACAUCGUGGCCUCACGUGAACUCUCCUUGAGGCCCACAGUGAAGAAAACAUGUUUUGCUGCCAGCGUCGUUGGACUUUGAUGCGUACUCGGAGCUGAUGGACAGGCUGUUUCUCUGCCCCCAAGUGGCCGAAAGCAUCAAUUAACGUGACUUUAACCGUCCUCUUCUGCAUCCAAAUCACACCCAGGUUUCAUGAACUCAAACCAGAUGUUCAGAGGGAGAUGAUGCCACAUCUGGUCCAGCUGAUGGAAGGUCUUGAAGUUCACUGACUGACCUCGACUGAAGAUGGUCGUCUCACUGGAUUUAAGGUUCAGAUGCUCAGUAACAAACUCCACCAAUGAGCCAACAGGGAAGCUUUAGGUUUAUUAAAUGUUGCUAUGAAGGUAUCGCUGUUUUUCUUUGUGAAUGCAAUGUGUUCCAACUGAAACUUGAAUUAGAAC
This is a long non-coding RNA of Amphiprion ocellaris (clown anemonefish), 522 nucleotides long. The record is from Ensembl. Lineage: Eukaryota; Metazoa; Chordata; Actinopteri; Pomacentridae.